GAAUAUUUUGGCAAGAAACCCUUCAGUCAGCAUGUGAGAAAGCUUCGAGCCAGCAUCACUCCUGGGACCAUCCUGAUCAUCCUCACCGGGCCCCACAGAGGCAAGAGAGUGGUUUUCCUGAAGCAGCUGAGCAGUGGCUUGCUACUUGUGACAGGACCUCUUUCCCUCAAUCGAGUUCCUCUGCGUAGAACACACCAGAAAUUUGUUAUCGCCACCUCCACAAAGAUUGAUAUCAGCAACGUGAAAAUCCCAAAACAUCUCACUGAUGCUUACUUCAAGAAGAAGAAGUUGAGGAAGCCCAGACACCAGGAAGGUGAAAUCUUCGACACAGAGAAAGAGAAAUACGAGAUCACAGAGCAGCGCAAGGUUGAUCAGAAAGCUGUGGACACACAAAUUCUACCCAAAAUCAAAGCUAUCCCUCAGCUCCAGGGCUACAUGUGAUCCGUUUUUGCUCUAACAAAUGGAAUUUAUCCUCACAAAUUGGUAAAAGGCUGA
Molecule: non-coding RNA, 495 nt
Organism: Marmota flaviventris (yellow-bellied marmot)
Lineage: Eukaryota; Metazoa; Chordata; Mammalia; Rodentia; Sciuridae
Source: RefSeq, a predicted model, not a curated record